This 459-nucleotide ribosomal RNA is filed under the name uncultured bacterium. RNAcentral describes it as "partial 16S ribosomal RNA". It matches the Rfam family "Bacterial small subunit ribosomal RNA", at positions 338 to 795 of the family's 1533-position model. The record is from RNAcentral.
CCUACGGGUGGCAGCAGUGAGGAAUAUUGGUCAAUGGGAGAGAUCCUGAACCAGCCAAGCCGCGUGAGGGAAGACGGCCCUAUGGGUUGUAAACCUCUUUUGUCGGAGAACAAAACCCGGGACGUGUCCCGGACUGCGUGUAUCCGAAGAAAAAGCAUCGGCUAAUUCCGUGCCAGCAGCCGCGGUAAUACGGAGGAUGCGAGCGUUAUCCGGAUUUAUUGGGUUUAAAGGGUGCGUAGGCGGUCCGUUAAGUCAGCGGGAAAAUUGGGGGGCUCAACCCCGUCGAGCCGUUGAUACUGGCAGACUUGAGUUGGCGAGAAGUACGCGGAAUGCGUGGUGUAGCGGUGAAAUGCAUAGAUAUCGCGAAGAACUCCGAUUGCGAAGGCAGCGUACCGGCGCCAGACUGACGCUGAGGCACGAAAGCGUGGGGAUCGAACAGGAUUAGAUACCCCAGUAGUC